Molecule: ribosomal RNA, 240 nt
Filed under: uncultured bacterium
Lineage: Bacteria
Description: partial 16S ribosomal RNA
Rfam family: Bacterial small subunit ribosomal RNA
Source: RNAcentral
GUGGGUAACCUGCCUUAUAGUGGGGGAUAGCCUUUCGAAAGGAAGAUUAAUACCGCAUAAGAUUGUAGUAUCGCAUGAUAUAGCAAUUAAAGGAGCAAUUCGCUAUAAGAUGGACCCGCGUCGCAUUAGCUAGUUGGUGAGGUAAUGGCUCACCAAGGCGACGAUGCGUAGCCGACCUGAGAGGGUGAUCGGCCACAUUGGGACUGAGACACGGUCCAGACUCCUACGGGAGGCAGCAUG